RNAcentral lists this ribosomal RNA (464 nucleotides) under uncultured bacterium. RNAcentral describes it as "bacterial SSU rRNA". It matches the Rfam family "Bacterial small subunit ribosomal RNA", at positions 29 to 507 of the family's 1533-position model. The record is from RNAcentral.
AACGAACGCUGGCGGCGCGUCUUAAGCAUGCAAGUCGAACGGCAUGAGGAAGCUUGCUUCCUCAGAGAGUGGCGGACUGGUGAGUAACACGUGGGUGACCUACCCUUGAGAUGGGGAUAGCCAUUAGAAAUAGUGGAUAAUACCGAAUACGCUCUACGGACUCUGGUUUGUAGAGGAAACAGGCUACGGCCUGGCUCGAGGAUGGGCCCGCGUCCGAUUAGCUAGUUGGUGAGGUAACGGCGUCACCAAGGCGACGAUCGGUAGCCGAACUGAGAGGUUGAAUCGGCCACAUUGGGACUGAGACACGGCCCAGACUCCUACGGGAGGCAGCAGUGGGGAAUAUUGCGCAAUGGGGGAAACCCUGACGCAGCAACGCCGCGUGAAGGAAAGGCCUCGGUUGUAAACUCUUUGAUAGGGACGAAUAAUGACGGUACCCUAAAAACAAGACCACGGCUAACUACGUG